RNAcentral lists this ribosomal RNA (1371 nucleotides) under uncultured bacterium. RNAcentral's name for it is "bacterial SSU rRNA". It matches the Rfam family "Bacterial small subunit ribosomal RNA", at positions 28 to 1381 of the family's 1533-position model. The record is from RNAcentral.
GAUGAACGCUGGCGGCGUGCCCAAUACAUGCAAGUCGAGCGAACGGACGAGAAGCUUGCUUCUCUGAUGUUAGCGGCGGACGGGUGAGUAACACGUGGAUAACCUACCUAUAAGACUGGGAUAACUUCGGGAAACCGGAGCUAAUACCGGAUAAUAUUUUGAACCGCAUGGUUCAAAAGUGAAAGACGGUCUUGCUGUCACUUAUAGAUGGAUCCGCGCUGCAUUAGCUAGUUGGUAAGGUAACGGCUUACCAAGGCAACGAUGCAUAGCCGACCUGAGAGGGUGAUCGGCCACACUGGAACUGAGACACGGUCCAGACUCCUACGGGAGGCAGCAGUAGGGAAUCUUCCGCAAUGGGCGAAAGCCUGACGGAGCAACGCCGCGUGAGUGAUGAAGGUCUUCGGAUCGUAAAACUCUGUUAUUAGAGAAGAACAUAUGUGUAAGUAACUGUGCACAUCUUGACGGUACCUAAUCAGAAAGCCACGGCUAACUACGUGCCAGCAGCCGCGGUAAUACGUAGGUGGCAAGCGUUAUCCGGAAUUAUUGGGCGUAAAGCGCGCGUAGGCGGUUUUUUAGUCUGAUGUGAAAGCCCACGGCUCAACCGUGGAGGGUCAUUGGAAACUGGAAAACUUGAGUGCAGAAGAGGAAAGUGGAAUUCCAUGUGUAGCGGUGAAAUGCGCAGAGAUAUGGAGGAACACCAGUGGCGAAGGCGACUUUCUGGUCUGUAACUGACGCUGAUGUGCGAAAGCGUGGGGAUCAAACAGGAUUAGAUACCCUGGUAGUCCACGCCGUAAACGAUGAGUGCUAAGUGUUAGGGGGUUUCCGCCCCUUAGUGCUGCAGCUAACGCAUUAAGCACUCCGCCUGGGGAGUACGACCGCAAGGUUGAAACUCAAAGGAAUUGACGGGGACCCGCACAAGCGGUGGAGCAUGUGGUUUAAUUCGAAGCAACGCGAAGAACCUUACCAAAUCUUGACAUCCUUUGACAACUCUAGAGAUAGAGCUUUCCCCUUCGGGGGACAAAGUGACAGGUGGUGCAUGGUUGUCGUCAGCCCGUGUCGUGAGAUGUUGGGUUAAGUCCCGCAACGAGCGCAACCCUUAAGCUUAGUUGCCAUCAUUAAGUUGGGCACUCUAAGUUGACUGCCGGUGACAAACCGGAGGAAGGUGGGGAUGACGUCAAAUCAUCAUGCCCCUUAUGAUUUGGGCUACACACGUGCUACAAUGGACAAUACAAAGGGCAGCGAAACCGUGAGGUCAAGCAAAUCCCAUAAAGUUGUUCUCAGUUCGGAUUGUAGUCUGCAACUCGACUACAUGAAGCUGGAAUCGCUAGUAAUCGUAGAUCAGCAUGCUACGGUGAAUACGUUCCCGGGUCU